GUGUGCGUAAUUUAAAAAAAAUAUCAAACUGUGACCCUGACAAUAGGACACACUCCUNGCAUACCA
This 66-nucleotide transfer RNA is filed under the name Alopecion guttatum (spotted house snake). RNAcentral describes it as "tRNA-His". Lineage: Eukaryota; Metazoa; Chordata; Lepidosauria; Squamata; Lamprophiidae. The record is from RNAcentral.